Molecule: long non-coding RNA, 2406 nt
Organism: Callithrix jacchus (white-tufted-ear marmoset)
Lineage: Eukaryota; Metazoa; Chordata; Mammalia; Primates; Cebidae
Source: Ensembl
AUGUCUAGAAACUUUGAGGAUAUUUUUGUAACCCCACACUUUUUCCUUUUCAGAGUCAGAGCACUAGAGCAAAAUGAAUCCUGGAACGGGAAUGGAAUGCUUGGAUUUGGAAGACCCAGUGUAAGGAAGCGUCACAGUUGGGAAGCAUCCUGGCUGUGCCAUGGUAAAGCUGCAUCCAAGGCAGUGAUUCUUACCCUUGGCUACACAUUGGAAUCAUCUGGGAAGCUUAAAAAAAAAAUAACAAUGCCUGUGACGUGGGCAAGAUGGCUGAAUAGGAACAGCUCUGGUCUGCAGCUCCCAGCAAGAUCAACACAGAAGGCAUUUAUAAAGUUUAUAGGGUAUUCAAAUAGGAAGAGAGGAAGUCAAAUUGUCUCUGUUUGCAGAUGACUUGAUUGUAUGUUUAGAAAACCCCAUCAUCUCAGCCCAAACUCUCCUUAAGCUGAUAAGCAACUUCAGCAAAGUCUCAGGAUACAAAAUUAAUGUGCAAAAAUCACAAGCAUUCUUAUACACCAACAAUAGACAGAGAACCAAAUCAUGAGCAAACUCCCAUUCAUAAUUGCUACAAAGAGAAUAAAAUGCCUAGGAAUUCAACUUAUAAGGGAUAUGAAGGACCUCUUCAAGGAGAACCGCAAACCAUUGUUCAAGGAAAUAAGAGAGGACAGAAAAAAAUGGAAAAAAGUUCAAUGCUUAUGGUUAGAAAGAAUCAAUAUCAUGAAAAUGGCCAUACUGCCCAAAGUGAUAUAUAGAUUCAAUGCCAUCCCCAUCAAGCUACCAUUGACUUUCUUUACAGAAUUAGAUCAAAACUAGUUUAAAUUUCUUAUGGAACCAAAAAAGAGCCCACAUAGCCAAGACAAUUCUAAGCAAAAGGAACAAAGCUGGAGGCAUCACACUACCUGACUUCAAACUAUGCUACAAGGCUACAGUAACCAAAAUAGCAUGGUUCUGGUACCAAAACAGAGAUAUAGACCAAUAGAACAGAACAGAGGCCUCAGAAAUAAUGCACAUCUAAAGCCAUCUAAUCUUUGACAAACCUGACAAAAAUAAGCAAUAGGAAAGGGAUUUCCUCUUUAAGAAAUGGUGUUGGGAAAAAUGGGCUAGCCAUAUGCAGAAAAUGGAAACUGGACCCUUUCCUUAUACCUUAUAUAGAAAUUAACUCAAGAUGGAUUAAAGACUUAAACAUAAGACCUAAAACCAUAAAAACCCUAGAGGAAACCCUAGGCAAUACCGUUUAGGAUAUAGGCAUGGGCAAAAACUUCAUGACUAAAGCACCAAAAGCAGUGGCAACAAAAGCCAAAAUUGACAAAUGGGACCUAAUUAAACUAAAUAGCUUCUGCACAGCAAAAGAAACUAUCAUCGGAGUGAACAGGCAGCCUACAGAAUGGGAGAAAAUUUUUGCAAUCUAUCCAUCUGACAAAGGGCUAAUAUCCAGAAUCAAUAAAGUACUUAAAUAAGUUUACAAGAAAGAAACAAACAACCCAAUCAAAAAGUGGGUGAAAGAUAUGAACAGACACUUCUCAAAAGAAGGAAUUUUUGCAGCCAACAAACAUGAAAAAAGGCUCAUCAUUACUGGUCAUUAGAGAAAUGUAAAUCAAACCACAAUGAGAUACCAUCUCAUGCCAGUUACAAUGGUGAUCACUAAAUAGUCAGGAAACGAGAUGCUGGAGAGGAUGGAGAGAAAUAGGGAUGCUUUACAUUGUUAGUGGGAGUAUAAAUGAGUUCAUCCAUUGUGGAAGACAGUGUGGUGUUUCCUCAAGGAUCUAGAAUCAGAAAUACCAUUUGACCCAGCAAUCCAUUAUUGGCUAUAUACCUAAAGGAUUAUAAAUAAUUCUAUAAAGACACAUGCACACGUAUGUUUACUGCAGCACUGUUCACAAUAGUAAAGACUUGGAACCAACCGAAAUGUCUCUUAGUGAUAGACUAGAUAAAGAAAAUGUGGCACAUAUACACCAUGGAAUACUAUGUAGCCAUAAAAAAGAUGAGUUCAUGUCCUUUGCAGGGACAUGGAUGAAGCUGGAAGCCAUCAUACUCAGCAAACUAACACAGGCACAGAAAACCAAACACUGUAUGUUCUCAUUCAUAAGUGGUUGUUGAACAAUGAGAACCCAUGGACACAGGGAGGGGAACAUCACACGCUGGGGCCAAACAGGGCAUGGGGGGCUUUGGGACGGUUAGCAUUAGGAGAAAUACCUAAUGUAGAUGAUGGAUUAAUGGAUGGUGUAUAUGUAUGUAACAAACCUGCACAUUCUGCACAUGUAUCCCAGAACUUAAAGUAUCAUUAAAAAAAAUAACCAUUCCCAUCAUAAUACUAAAUAAGGAGAACAAAAUUGGAGGAGUCACACUACCCGACUUCAAGACUUACUGUAAGACUUCAGUAAUUGAGAUAGUAUUACACCGGUGAACAGAUGG